CUCGGUCACGUGCCGGUGUACAACUUCGUGCUACAAAAAUAUCAUGAUAUUUUUUUUCCCCACUAGAUAUGACUAUCUGGGACCACAUCUUUUGUGGGUGCAUUUGGCCCGGUUCCUUUUGCUGCUGUAAUAUAAUGCUCAGAGGCGGUGGAUUGUGGUGUUGUGAAAGAUUUGAUCCAAGCAGAGAGGCUGUAGGGCUUAAGCCACUAAUGGAUCCUUCCACUUCCACUUCCAGCCAUGCUUUAGAAUUACAGAACCUUAACUCAGUUCCUAGUGGGAACCAGGAGAAUGUCACAUGCAUGGAUCCUGAAAUUUACGUGGCUGCUGCAGAAGGCGACACCGAUAUCCUCAAGAGAAUGCCUAGCGCUGACCUUCAAUUCCAAUUAACACCCAAUCACAACACUGUCCUUCACAUUGCAGCCCAAUUCGGUCAACUGAACUGCUUUGUAUGGAUCAUUCAGCACUACUCCGCGGAUUCGUUGCAAAUCAAUUAUCAAAAGAACUUCUCAUAGAUAUUGAAAAUGGCAUGUCAAUAUCCUGAUGUGAUUAACCAAAUCAAUUAUUAAAGCAACAAAGGGGUUAACCAAAUCAAACAAAAGGCCCAAAUAAUCUCACAUGCUAACGACUAUGGAGGAAAACCUUAAGGUUAACCAUCUCCAUGAUUGUAAGAAUUUUUUAUUUGUAAAGCAUUGGUACCAAGGACAGUUGUUUGGCACCAAGGAAAGUUGUUUAUCCAUUUUACUUUUGUCUGUUGUCUAUUCACUUAAUUUUCUCUUUUUUUGUGUGGGGGCGAAGUGAAGUAAUUGUCCAUUCAGCAUAACCAUUUGGACAAGCCUUUCCCAUGAUGGGAUAAGGAAAUGGGUGGAAAAUAGUUACACAACUUGGCAUAGUAAUGUUUAAAGUAAUUUUGAGAUCAAGUUUAAAUUUAGUCCCUAAAGGGAAAAUGGCACUAAAGAAACUAAUGAACAAUUGUCCCUUUCUUUCUUAUGCAACAAGACGAGGCAUUUGAGACAGCCUUUGCUCGAGUUUUUUUCCUAGAUAAUUUUAAUCAAUACAAAACUGGUGCUUACACCAAUCACCCCUUAGUAUAUUAAAAGAGGAAAAAAAAUUCAAAUGUCCACUUAGUCAGGUAUCAAUAUACCUGAGAAAAACAUUCAAUUAAGUUCAGUGUUGAUUGGUCUUCAUAGUAUAUUUACAUGUCGAAUUUUCUAUUUGAAUAACUAAAAAAUCAGUGCCCUUACUUGCACCAGAUUAUGACUGGAACAGGUUUAAGAGCCUUUGGUCCAUUUCUUAUGCCUCUUUUAUGGCAAGACGCCUACAUAUUUAGGACAUAUAAAUAGCUUUGAGAUCGGAAGGUAACAAAUUUUCAUCACCUAAAACAAAUGAAAUAAAUAAACAAAACCCCAAAUAGCACAUUACAAAAAAAACUUGAAAUUAAAAAUCUGGGUGUGAGUAUGUAUACUUUUUUCUUUAUAAAUUUUUUCUUCAAUCCAGGCUUCUUUACAAUGCAAGCAGAGCUUACACAAUGUAGGCCUACCAAUAAUUGUGUGACUUGAAAUGAUACCAUUCAUUGAUUCCUAUUUUAUUUAUGGAAAACCGAAAUUCUGAAUUCACAGCUUUGCUUGGUUUUGUUGCAUUGGGAAGAUAAAGUGAGGUUUGAUCAUCACUGAUUUUUGUAAAACAGUUUGUUUUGAUCAUCCAUAUUUAAUUAACAUCCAUAAACCUAUUCUGUAAUGGAUUUAAUUUUCCGAUAAAAUAUUGCAUUCCUUCUCUCAUUAUAGGUCUAGAUAUCAAGAUUUAGCAUGUUAGCUCAUCCAUCCUAGGAAUUCUAAUUCAAGAUUUCAUUUUCUAGAUUUAGAUUUAUUAUGCAUGUAUUACACAAGCUCUUAAACUAAUAUGAUUUUUUCAGUAUAUUAAUUUAUACUCGUUUCUACUCACUGAACAGCAGUAUAAUCAAUACUAAAAGGAGACACCUUAAAAUUCACUUCUGACACCAUAUUAAACCCAGAUCGUUGGACAACCCAACAAUCAGUGCUCAAAAUAUGGAAUCCCUAAAUGAUAAAUCAGCUAGCAAUCGACACCAAAAAAACAAAUCAAUAAUACAUUAGAGAGAACCUUUGAUUUAUACUCAAUGACUUAUUUCCUACUCACCUACCACCAUCAUAAUCAACACUCAAAGAAGCUAAAAAAAAAAAAAAAAUAAAAAUUUCACUACUGAAAUAGAGUGGAAGCAAAGCCAUUGGACAACAAAACUUUCAAUGCUCAAAAUAUGAAAACCCAUAUGCUUAAACCAGAUAACAAUCAAUACUCUAGAAUGAAAUCAACAACACACCACAUAAAACCUUUAAUUUAUAUUCAUUUUCUGCUCACUUACUACAAGUAUGAUUAAUAUCUAGAAGGGGCAAAAUACCUCAAAAUUGACUUAUGAAACGAUAUAAAAGCCAAGUCGUUGGACACCCCAACAAUCAAUGCUCAAAAUUCGAAAGACCCAAUUGCUUAACCAGCCAACGCACGACCCCGAAAAUAAAAUCCACAUCAUAGUAUACAGAAACUUUACUUUAUAAUGAUUUCCUACUCACCUCCUACCAGUAUAAUCGAUACUCAAAACAGUAAAAACACCUCAAAUUCAAUUUUGAAAUGAGAUGAAAGCCUAAUCACUGGACAACCCAGAAGUCAAUGCUCAAAAUCAGAAAGACCCAAAUGCUUAAACCAACCAACAACCGACACAUAAAUAUAUUUUUGUGAAAACAUCUAAAAUCUGAAGUUUUGGCCAAAAACAUAUUUUUAUCCAACAAAUCUUUAGAAUUAGCAAUUGAUCAGCCUGGCUUUUUAAGGUGAACUAAUUCAAAGGUCAGCCCGUGCAUGAGUUACCAUGAAUACUUGCAUAUUCAUACCUGGAAGGUUGAAUUGUAAAGGGCCACAAUAUCAAAAGAGUACUACUGUGUGACAAAUAAACAAUAAGCUCGAGGGUAUUACAAUAUUUGGACAUCAUGUACGAAACCCUGGAGAAUGAAUUAAGACCAUUCAUCAUCACCUAUGAAUUAAGACCAUGCUAAACCAUGGUCCACUGGAAAAUUCCCAAAGUGGGAACUUUUUUAUUAUUCUAUGCAUUUAGAUAUAUAAUAAUAAUGCAAGGAAAACUGCCCUUCUUAUUAUUGUCGGUGGUGACAAAAGGCGUUGAUGGGCUCACCUCCUACCAGUAUAAUCGAUACUCAAAACAGUAAAAACACCUCGGAUUCAAUUUUGAAAUGAGAUGAAAACCUAAUCACUGGACAACCCAGAAGUCAAUGCUCAAAAUCUGAAAUACCCAAAUGCUUAAACCAACCAACAAUCGACAUAGAAAACCUCACAAUACCCAUCAAAAAGUAAAAAAAAUAAAAAUAAAUAAAUAAAAGCACAACCAAAAUAAAGUACCAAAAUCGACUUUUUUCUGAUGCUCAAUCUGUUAUUAAACUAGUUUCUCUUCUGAUGCUCAUGAUAACACCUUUAGCCCUAAUAUGUUCUCAACACCCAAACGAAUGCUUAAAUGGAAAACUCACCUGUGAUUGAUUGAGGAAGCUCCACUUCAGUUUUUAGAAACCUUUAAAAAAUCAACCUUUGAUGAAGAAAUACGAAGAUCUGCCUCAACUUUGGCUUCCUUGAAGGUUUUCAGAAGAAACCUAUUGGGUUUGGGUUGUCAACUCGUGAAGAGACACGCUAGGGUUAGGGCAGAAUCAGACGAAGCCGACUUUCGAAAGAUGGGUAUCCAUUGCUUGCUCAAGACCUCAAUAAACAGAUCGACUCUAUCAAAUGAGCUAUGAAAAUGGAAAUUUUCUGAGAUCUGGUUAGGGCAAAACGAGAGAAAGUGACAGAGAUAACUUCAAGUUUUAAAUGUUUCUCGGGUCGGGUGUGUUGUGGGUUUCAGACUUCAUAACUUCAUUAUUCACAUUUUAGUGUUUCUAAAAUUGUGCAAUGGCUGUU
This 3960-nucleotide long non-coding RNA is filed under the name Vitis vinifera (wine grape). RNAcentral describes it as "long non-coding RNA (VVIN_LNC001595)". Lineage: Eukaryota; Viridiplantae; Streptophyta; Magnoliopsida; Vitales; Vitaceae. The record is from RNAcentral.